UACGUAGGGUGCAAGCGUUGUCCGGAAUUAUUGGGCGUAAAGAGCUCGUAGGCGGUCUGUCGCGUCUGCUGUGAAAUUUCGGGGCUCAACCCCGAACUUGCAGUGGGUACGGGCAGACUAGAGUGUGGUAGGGGAGACUGGAAUUCCUGGUGUAGCGGUGAAAUGCGUAGAUAUCUGGAGGAAUACCGGUGGCGAAGGCGGCGUUCUGGACCAUUACUGACACUGAAUCGCGAAAGCUAGGGGAGCAAACGGG
Molecule: ribosomal RNA, 253 nt
Filed under: uncultured bacterium
Lineage: Bacteria
Description: partial 16S ribosomal RNA
Rfam family: Bacterial small subunit ribosomal RNA
Source: RNAcentral